AGAUACAUACACCGGUUUAACCCAAAACUUACUUCGAGUGUGCAUCUCAGCUGGAACAGUACAGCUGACAGAGGUUGUGAGUGCGGGGCAUCCAUGCCUGUAUGAGUUGGAUUGAUUGAAACAGAAUACGGAAUACCGAUAGUGCCGCAGCUCCGGCAUAGUUGGAUGUUAGCGCACCGUUGGUAUCCAUUUAGUGAUUGGACCUGCCUCUAUUUUUUCGGAAUAAACAUUAAAAAUACAUCUGGAUAUCAUCACAGAAAUCUGGUCAACAUGGCACCAAGGCACCAUUUUGGGCCUUCCAGUGCCCUUCAAUGUGGAUUCAUAUUCAUGUUUUGUAUACUGAGUGCGAUUCACCAAGCAAGCCCCCAAGGUUAUGAAGGUAAGAUUAUAAACAAUACAAGAACUUUGAUUAUCAUCUUUGAUUAUCAAUUUACAAACAUUUAUAGAUCUUCAGGUUCCCAGCAGAAUAUUUGAUGGAUAGUGAUCUGAAAAGUGGAUGAUAAUGUGUGUGUAAAACUGUACAUGCAUCGAUAUAACAACAUUUAAUUCUCUAUUCAUGCUCAAUUGAAUCUUUGUGUAAUGCAGACUCUUUGUUGAAGAGUUUGGUAUGAAUGACUUAGAAUCUAGGUCGUUGUGUUCAAAGUUGAUAUAUUUUUGUUAUUAAUCAUGUGUUAGAUACUGUAGAGGGUAUGGCUUGAAUGUGAAAGUCUGUCAUGUAGAAAUGAUUGAUAUUUGUCAGUAUGUCUAGAACUCUAGAUACCUGUUGAUAGUGGAUUGUUAUUUUGUGUAGACUGUAGAGGUUUGUAUAUUUUUAGUUCAAUUUUGUGGAUUUCUACUGAGCACAGCUCAGGUCAGGCAAAAGAUUACCGGUAUAUUGCCUAAAAGAAAUUCCCAAGUAUUUUCUUUUUGUUUUUACAACCAGAUUUGGUAAUUCCCACUCAUCUUGAAUUCUUUAUUAAUUAAGACACAUUGAAGUGUGGUGUCAAACUUUCUUGUAUCCAUAUUGAAAGUGAUUGAAGUGUGCAUAAAUCGUCAUAGUUCUGUAAAAAACAUAUAUGAUGCCUGCCUGUUGUAGCAGUGCUUUAGCUUUCCUAAUGUUGAAUACCUGUACUACUCAUAGAGAAAUAGCUGCUGGUGAAAUAACAAAAUGUAGCACUCAGACAAAAACAUUGUCUGCCAAGCAUCACCUUUGUUGGUUGGACGCUAAUGAGACGUAGGAGUAGCCCAGCCACCCAUCAAUGUUUUAGUUAGCAUUCUUCACCUUGAAACAUGCCAGAACGAGGGCCUGACCUCCGCGGAGCCAUCGUAACAGACAAGAACCCAGCAUGAUUGGUCGUGAACAUGAACAUUAGUCUGACAAGGUGUCGCCCAACGUCAUGACUAAUUCUUUAGAGAUUUGAGCAGGAGAUUAUGGAUCUGGUAUUAAAUAUGGGCCAGCAAGGAUGCACGGUUUGUUUCUUGGCACCUGGGUUGCGAAAAAGGUGAUGUCGUGCGGCGAUGAUGGAGGAAAAAUGUCCGGCAAACGUAGACCUGUCUUAAUAGAUGACAGCACAUGGAUUUUAGAUGCAAUGUUGUACAGGAUAAAGGAUAGUCUUACUUCCAUGGGAAACAAGUAAGUCCAGCCUUCUUGGCCAUAUACGGUAGUGAUAGGAUGAAUUAGCUAUACUGUCUCUUCUAAAUCAGUCUGAUGUUUGCCAUAAAUUGUCAAGGAUGGAUAUUAGGGCUUUGCCUUUCUAAACUUUUCCCUCGAUGUAGGAAAGAUGAAAUGGAUUGAUGCAGUUAACUCUACUUGGAAACUAUGGUCUAUUAUAUUAUGAAGGCAAAAAAAAAGUCAUGUCAAACAAUUUGCUUUGAAUUAG
Molecule: long non-coding RNA, 1859 nt
Filed under: Strongylocentrotus purpuratus (purple sea urchin)
Lineage: Eukaryota; Metazoa; Echinodermata; Echinoidea; Camarodonta; Strongylocentrotidae
Description: uncharacterized LOC115919985
Source: RNAcentral